CUAGAAUCAGCUCCCAACAAAUGAAUGUGAUGAAGCAUUGUUGUGGAGC
Enterococcus rivorum is the source of this 49-nucleotide regulatory RNA element. It matches the Rfam family "uup RNA". NCBI's taxonomy places the organism in Bacteria, Bacillati, Bacillota, Bacilli, Lactobacillales, Enterococcaceae. The record is from Rfam.